UAGGUAGACCAAAAAUGGCAUGUCAGGCUUCUAACUUGACUGAGGGCGGUUAAAACGUCCCUAUCUAU
Molecule: transfer RNA, 68 nt
Filed under: Nipponacmea sp. JM-2022
Lineage: Eukaryota; Metazoa; Mollusca; Gastropoda; Lottiidae
Description: tRNA-Ser
Source: RNAcentral